This is a long non-coding RNA of Medicago truncatula (barrel medic), 1883 nucleotides long. RefSeq lists it as uncharacterized. Lineage: Eukaryota; Viridiplantae; Streptophyta; Magnoliopsida; Fabales; Fabaceae. The record is from RefSeq and is a predicted model, not a curated record. The transcript is spliced from 3 exons.
AUGUGAUACUUUCACAUCUUUUUUAUCCCCAUUUUCGAUAAGAAGUUGCGCACAAGAAUGGUUCAUUAGGGAAUUCCCUGCAAAGGAUGUCGAACAUGAAGAGGAAACAACUGCUAUAUGGAAAGCUUAUCUGACUCCUACUCUUCUCUCUAGUAGGAUAUUAGCCACUAACUCGACAAAUUAUUAUGGGUUAUAUGGUUAUCAACCAAAUUUAGUGGCUAGACAAUUUGGUUUGGUACAAACUCGUCCUAGCUCACUUUAUAAAUCCAAAGAAGACUUGAAGAAACCUAAGGGUGAAAUUAUGUGGCGAUCUCUCCUUCAAAAAGUUGAUGAACAUAUUCCAACUCUUAAGCCUGCCCCCUUUGAACUUUCAUAUGAAUGUACUAAAAUCUUUUUUAGAUGGUGGUGGUGAUACUUUGUCGAGAAGAGCAAAGGAGUAAAUCCAAACACUUUGCUUCCUGAACUAAUUUCUGCUUUUCAUUAUGUGCAGAAAAAAUCGAAGAAACCAAAAGGUACACAUAUUCGAGAAAUCCAAGCUUUUCAAAAGUACUUCAAACUAUAUAUGAUCGUCUGAACCUUAGUCGGACUGUUUAUUAUGCUGCCAAAACUUUAAAGGAAAAACUUUUAGAAAAAAUUCCAACAUCAAAAUUUCCUCCUUUUGUUACCGAUAAAUAUCUUUUUGCUUUAUACUUUAAAAUUAAAUUUCCACCAUUGCCAUCUAGUGAACUAGCACUAGCACUCAGACCACCAUAUCCAAAAUGAUUUGUGUGUGGCUCUUGGAUGGCAAUGAAACAAAACCUUAUCAAGAAGAAAGCAAAGCAAAUUACUACGACUAAGCAUGACAUAUACAAGUUUAGAGGUCAAUUAUAUUUUGGCCUACAUCAGGUUCGAAUCACAUUUCCUAUAGGAAUAGGUAAGAGCUUUUCACUAACUCUUCAGGAUAACAAUUAUCAUUUUUAUUUAACACAAAAAAUUACCUGUUUCUUUGAAUGUUUUAAGCUUUACCUUUACAAUCAGUGCAAAAAGCUGACACAUGAGUAGAGGGAACAUUGAAGUCGAAGCCUAGCAAUUUCUCAAAGAAAGGCAAAAUAUCCGAGUCAGAGAAAAAAGAAUCUGAUGUUUCACCUAAAGCUACCAAGGCCCCUGAGAUUCAGAUUGAGAAUUAGAAAAAGAGAAAACAUGCUCAAGAAAAAUCUAGGGACACUAGUGAGUGGAAUUCUGUCGAAAAUUCUCAAGACGAUCCAAACGUUGGUAAAAACACAACUAAUGAAGAGACAUCCGUGAAGGUUGCAAGGAAGAAAAUUAGAGGUCGCAAGGAUGAAAAACCAGCCAAUGCACACUCUUGUGUAGAAGAUAACGUGUCGAAGAGUGUUGAGGUUACCAAUGCUGAAACGGGCAAAUAAACGACUCCUCCUUCCACUUUCAAUCAAUCGAUUGAGCCUAUUUUCGAAGACAAUAUAGUGGUCAAGUCUAGCCCUCCAAAAAAUGAUGAAGAUCCAGAACGAACCCUUUCUGAUCAUUCUCAAGAUUCAAAUGCCAGAAGUAUUGAAGAUGAUCAGCAUCACACUGAUGAGGAAGACGAAGGGGGUCCAUCUCUAGUCGAAAGUGGGAAAGGCAACACCACUCAUGGGUCAAUCUCUGAUGAUGAUGAGGAGCAAACUGACACCAAUGUGGAUGGAUGGUCACAAAAAAGAUGUCGAAGAGUCUGAAGAUGAAUCUGAACAAGAAUCCCCAAAACCCAUGGUUUUAAAAUGUUAAUAAAAGUGGAAAAUAAAAAGAAGAUUUUAUUUAUAAAAGUGGUUUUAAGAAGUUUGAAUGUGUGAUGAAGUUGAACAAGAAAAUAAUGGAAAGCAAUUUGGCACCUGUGAUUUUGUUGACCACCA